GAUGAAGAACGUAGCGAAAUGCGAUAAGUAGUGUGAAUUGCAGAAUUCAGUGAAUCAUCGAAUCUUUGAACGCACAUUGCGCCCCUUGGUAUUCCAUGGGGCAUGCCUGUUCGAGCGUCAUUUGUACCCUCCAGCCCUGCUGGGUGUUGGGCGUUUGUUCCGCCGCGCGCGUAAACUCGCCUCAAAUGCAUUGGCAGCCAGCCGUCCCGCGUGGGAGCGCAGCACAUUUUGCGCUCUCCGCUGGGUGCGGCGGCGUCCACAAGCCUAUACCUUUACGCUUGACCUCGGAUCAGGUAGGGAUACCCGCUGAACUUAAGCAUAUCAAUAAGCGGAA
RNAcentral lists this unclassified non-coding RNA (334 nucleotides) under soil metagenome. RNAcentral describes it as "partial contains 5.8S ribosomal RNA, internal transcribed spacer 2, and large subunit ribosomal RNA". The stretch from base 1 to 120 matches the Rfam family "5.8S ribosomal RNA", at positions 35 to 154 of the family's 154-position model. The record is from RNAcentral.